UACGUAGGGCGCGAGCGUUGUCCGGAAUUAUUGGGCGUAAAGAGCUCGUAGGCGGUCUGUCGCGUCGGCUGUGAAAUCCCGGAGCUCAACUCCGGGUCUGCAGUCGAUACGGGCAAACUGGAGUACUGCAGGGGAGACUGGAAUUCCUGGUGUAGCGGUGAAAUGCGCAGAUAUCGUUUGGAACGCCGAUGGUGAAAACAGGUCGCUGGGGCUGUGCUGACGCUGAGACACGAAAGCCAGGGGAGCGAACGGG
Molecule: ribosomal RNA, 253 nt
Filed under: uncultured bacterium
Lineage: Bacteria
Description: partial 16S ribosomal RNA
Rfam family: Bacterial small subunit ribosomal RNA
Source: RNAcentral